AACCAUAGAAACCUGCGGAGUACCUGCGGAGGGAUCAUUACCGAGUCGUGGCUCGUCGCGAGCCUACACUCCCACCCGUGUCUACCGUUACCGCGUUGCUUUGGCGGGCCCACUGGAACUCUCGCGGUUCCGGUCGCCGGAGGGCUGCUGCCCUCGGGCCCGCGCCCGCCGAAGCGCCCCUGAACCCUGUGUGAAUAGUGAGUCUGAGUGUCCCUAGAAUCGUUAAAACUUUCAACAACG
Molecule: unclassified non-coding RNA, 240 nt
Filed under: soil metagenome
Description: partial contains 5.8S ribosomal RNA, internal transcribed spacer 2, and large subunit ribosomal RNA
Source: RNAcentral